GGGGGUGACAGGCUUCGACGGGGAUACAGAGGUCAGCGGUGCGUGCCGAGCUCUCGGAGUCUCGUUAAACCUUCGGGAAAAUAGCAACUGCCAACCAAGAACUGGCACUCGCAGCUUAAUUAACUGCGACGUUCCGCCGCCUGAUGCCUGCGGGGG
RNAcentral lists this transfer-messenger RNA (156 nucleotides) under Nitrospirota bacterium. Its description in RNAcentral is "partial transfer-messenger RNA". It matches the Rfam family "transfer-messenger RNA", at positions 1 to 171 of the family's 374-position model. From Rfam's summary of the family: Bacterial tmRNA, also known as 10Sa RNA or SsrA, is named for its dual tRNA and mRNA-like properties. Its role is to liberate the mRNA from a stalled ribosome. To accomplish this part of the tmRNA is used as a reading frame that ends in a translation stop signal. Lineage: Bacteria; Pseudomonadati; Nitrospirota. The record is from RNAcentral.